CUGUAAUUGAAGAUCUUAAAAUUCAAGCAGCAAGAGCUUCUCUAGGUACUGAGUGUUGACUUCAAGGAUCAUUUAAGGUGAGGAGCUGUGUUCACAGAGAGGUUAAAUCACCUGCUCAAAGUCACGGGGAAAAAGAGAAUUCAGACACUCCACCUGGCAAGGAC
Long non-coding RNA from Lemur catta (Ring-tailed lemur), 164 nucleotides. RefSeq lists it as uncharacterized. The record is from RefSeq and is a predicted model, not a curated record. The transcript is spliced from 3 exons. Lineage: Eukaryota; Metazoa; Chordata; Mammalia; Primates; Lemuridae.